GAACCUGACUACCAGUCAAUUCAUAAUUGGCUAUGCACAUCGUUAGCAGCUGUUUCGAGAAAAGAUGUGCUCCAAAACUACCAAAGCCACACCCUAUGUCUAAGACAACUCGAACCCCUGCCUCAUUGAAAUUGAGCUCGUUUUUCAGUCCGAUCAUCUCAGCUAUCUGAUGAGUAUAGUCUUCGACUCCAUCCACCAUAAGAGAGUCCGAGCGGAAGGAGAUCUGCUCUUCCUCCACCAUCAUCCGCUUAGUCAAGCUCCCG
RNAcentral lists this unclassified non-coding RNA (263 nucleotides) under Hevea brasiliensis (rubber tree). Lineage: Eukaryota; Viridiplantae; Streptophyta; Magnoliopsida; Malpighiales; Euphorbiaceae. The record is from RNAcentral.